UUGCAGAAAUGUUUCCUUGGGGAACUUCAAUGGUGCUUCAUUUUUCAUUUUGGAAUCUUGAUUAUAUGAAUGGAAAGCAACAACGCUUCUGCAAAUUUUCCGUGGUGGCGGUUUACCAUCCAAAUACGAUGCCAUUGAUUCCUAAUGUAGUUUCUCCUUUAGUUCAUCUAGACAAAAUUUCUAGGCAUUUAUUUUUUCUUCUUUCUAGUACAGGAUAGCGGCUCAAGCUAAAACUUACCAGAGUAUUCAGUUUGGCGAAUUUUAAUCUUCUAUCGUGCAUCAAUCGGCAUAUAUAUAAAUAAAUUAAGCUGCAAGACAAUAUAUCAAGGUACUUAAAUACCAAUGGUCAUAAAUUUUUCAAUAAUUUAAUACGAGACUAUUCUCAGAUUGUUCUGGCACUUGGAUAUAAUUUAUCCCUUGGCGAAGAACAUACGUAAGUACCAAACUUAGUUUUGCUACAAUUGGACCUCAAGUACUAAACUCCAGAAAUCUUAACCCUUCCAUCAAACUUAGUUUUUAAUUGCACAAGAAACAGAGACCUGAUCACGCUUUCAACAACUCCAUGGUAAGUAGGUCGAUCGCUCUCAAGGUUCAUGUUUGCUUGGUCGGCAACUUUCAACUUAAAUUUCGGAGGGAAGAACUAUACGUCGAACAUCUCAAAACCUUAGUUGAAACGGACAAAAGAAAACAUACUAGUUUCUAAUUUCUAUUAGAAAGAAGAGUCAGCAGGUGGACCGGUUCUACAGAUUGGGGGCGUUCACAUGGCAGACGUUCAGGCCACGUCAGGACAAGUCGGACACCGUGGGGCCACGACAUAAAUUUGCUAAAAACCGAUUAAAGAUGAAAAGGGGACGACAGAAGAGGCACGGAAAGGGAAAGAGAACUCACUCUUUCUUUUUCUACAAGCAGAAGGAUGACUGCAAAUCAAUCUCCGGCCAUGCUACAACCGGCAACAGAAACCCGCCCGCCGGCAGGGACCAUCAUCGACGGGCAAUGCUGGCCGAGUAACAUGCACAAUGGCAGUGACGGAGGCCCCUCAUCUCGACGCAGCCGGCACGGCAUGCAUGAGGAAGUGAAUCGAUCGAUGAGCGACGCUGCAACGUCCAACUGCAGUCAUCACGCCGAAGCCGCCUUCAAUCAAGUUUACGCCUCCAGCUCGUCGCUCUUCACCCGUCCCCCUCAUGAAUUUCUUGGGCUGCCACCGCCUCGUGCUUUCUUGAACUCUGUCCUUUCUUUGUCAUCAUCAUCUGCUGCGGCCGCUGCUUCGAGGGCGUCCGCAAAUGCGAAUCGUGUUCAAAGAUGAGGACAUGCAAAUAUGACAGAUAGAAAGGAGUUGGGUCGGUGAGAAUGGCUAAUUUAAUGCAGGGCUUUGGCCACUUAAAUUUUUUUACUUCUUUCGCCCUUUUGCGGAAAUUUUGGUACAUAUGAUCAUUAAUUUCUGUGUUUUAAUUGGGUAUAAAGUUGGCUGUGUUCUAAGAAA
Molecule: long non-coding RNA, 1480 nt
Organism: Nymphaea colorata (pocket water lily)
Lineage: Eukaryota; Viridiplantae; Streptophyta; Magnoliopsida; Nymphaeales; Nymphaeaceae
Exons: 2
Source: RefSeq, a predicted model, not a curated record